UGAGGAAUAUUGGUCAAUGGGCGCAAGCCUGAACCAGCCAUCCCGCGUGCAGGAAGACGGCCCUAUGGGUUGUAAACUGCUUUUGUCAGGGAAUAAACCUUUGUACGAGUACAGAGCUGAAGGUACCUGAAGAAUAAGCAUCGGCUAACUCCGUGCCAGCAGCCGCGGUAAUACGGAGGAUGCAAGCGUUAUCCGGAUUCAUUGGGUUUAAAGGGUGCGCAGGCGGAUUGGUAAGUCAGGGGUUAAAUCCCACAGCUCAACUGUGGAACUGCCCUUGAUACUGUCAGUCGAGAGUAUAGUUGAAGUUGGCGGAAUGUGUCAUGUAGCGGUGAAAGGCUUAGAUAUGACACAGAACACCGAUCGCGAAGGCAGCUAGCUAAGCUAUAACUGACGCUCAUGCACUAAAGCGUGGGGAUCAAACA
Molecule: ribosomal RNA, 422 nt
Filed under: uncultured prokaryote
Description: bacterial SSU rRNA
Rfam family: Bacterial small subunit ribosomal RNA
Source: RNAcentral